Molecule: ribosomal RNA, 518 nt
Filed under: Kluyveromyces lactis
Lineage: Eukaryota; Fungi; Ascomycota; Saccharomycetes; Saccharomycetales; Saccharomycetaceae
Description: partial large subunit ribosomal RNA
Rfam family: Eukaryotic large subunit ribosomal RNA
Source: RNAcentral
GGCGAGUGAAGCGGCAAAAGCUCAAAUUUGAAAUCUGGCGUCUUCGACGUCCGAGUUGUAAUUUGAAGAAGGCAACUUUGUAGCUGGUCCUUGUCUAUGUUCCUUGGAACAGGACGUCAUAGAGGGUGAGAAUCCCGUGUGGCGAGGAUCCCAGUUAUUUGUAAAGUGCUUUCGACGAGUCGAGUUGUUUGGGAAUGCAGCUCUAAGUGGGUGGUAAAUUCCAUCUAAAGCUAAAUAUUGGCGAGAGACCGAUAGCGAACAAGUACAGUGAUGGAAAGAUGAAAAGAACUUUGAAAAGAGAGUGAAAAAGUACGUGAAAUUGUUGAAAGGGAAGGGCAUUUGAUCAGACAUGGCGUUUGCUUCGGCUUUCGCUGGGCCAGCAUCAGUUUUAGCGGUUGGAUAAAUCCUCGGGAAUGUGGCUCUGCUUCGGUAGAGUGUUAUAGCCCGUGGGAAUACAGCCAGCUGGGACUGAGGAUUGCGACUUUUGUCAAGGAUGCUGGCGUAAUGGUUAAAUGCCG